UACGUAGGGUGCAAGCGUUGUCCGGAAUUACUGGGCGUAAAGCGAGUGUAGGCGGUUUGGUAAGUCGGAUGUGAAAGCCCCGGGCUCAACCCGGGAAGUGCACUCGAUACUGCCAAGCUAGAGUAUCGGAGAGGUUGGUGGAAUUCUCGGUGUAGAGGUGAAAUUCGUAGAUAUCGAGAGGAACACCGGUGGCGAAGGCGGCCAACUGGACGAAUACUGACGCUGAGACUCGAAAGCGUGGGGAGCAAACAGG
This 253-nucleotide ribosomal RNA is filed under the name uncultured bacterium. Its description in RNAcentral is "partial 16S ribosomal RNA". It matches the Rfam family "Bacterial small subunit ribosomal RNA", at positions 524 to 776 of the family's 1533-position model. The record is from RNAcentral.